GACAGAGGGUGCAAACGUUGUUCGGAAUUACUGGGCGUAAAGCGCGUGUAGGCGGCUAAGUAAGUCGGGCGUGAAAUCCCACGGCUCAACCGUGGAAGUGCACUCGAAACUGCAUAGCUAGAGUCCUGGAGAGGAAGGUGGAAUGCUUGGUGUAGAGGUGAAAUUCGUAGAUAUCAAGCGGAACACCGGUGGCGAAGGCGGCUCACUGGCCCGAUACUGACGCUGAGACGCGAAAGCGUGGGGAGCAAACAGG
RNAcentral lists this ribosomal RNA (253 nucleotides) under uncultured bacterium. RNAcentral's name for it is "partial 16S ribosomal RNA". It matches the Rfam family "Bacterial small subunit ribosomal RNA", at positions 524 to 776 of the family's 1533-position model. The record is from RNAcentral.